Molecule: non-coding RNA, 74 nt
Organism: Nerophis ophidion (straightnose pipefish)
Lineage: Eukaryota; Metazoa; Chordata; Actinopteri; Syngnathiformes; Syngnathidae
Source: the annotation of a RefSeq genome assembly
GUUUCUGUGGUGCUAUCGGAUAGCAUGUUCGGCUGUUAACCGAAAGGUUGGUGGUUCAAGCCCACCCAGGAAUG